AACGAACGCUGGCGGCAGGCUUAACACAUGCAAGUCGAACGGGUGUAGCAAUACAUCAGUGGCAGACGGGUGAGUAACACGUGGGAACCUUCCUAGAGGUACGGAACAACGCAGGGAAACUUGCGCUAAUACCGUAUACGCUCUUGCGAGGAAAGAUUUAUCGCCUUUAGACGGGCCCGCGUCGGAUUAGCUAGUUGGUAAGGUAACGGCUUACCAAGGCGACGAUCCGUAGCUGAUCUGAGAGGAUGAUCAGCCACACUGGGACUGAGACACGGCCCAGACUCCUACGGGAGGCAGCAGUGGGGAAUCUUGGACAAUGGGCGCAAGCCUGAUCCAGCCAUGCCGCGUGAGUGAAGAAGGCCUUCGGUUGUAAGCUCUUUGUUCAGGGACGGAUAAUGACGGUACCUGAAGAAUAAGCCCGGCAAACUUACGUGCCAGCAGCCGCUAAU
Molecule: ribosomal RNA, 449 nt
Filed under: uncultured bacterium
Lineage: Bacteria
Description: bacterial SSU rRNA
Rfam family: Bacterial small subunit ribosomal RNA
Source: RNAcentral